Sinocyclocheilus anshuiensis is the source of this 213-nucleotide long non-coding RNA. RefSeq lists it as uncharacterized. NCBI's taxonomy places the organism in Eukaryota, Metazoa, Chordata, Actinopteri, Cypriniformes, Cyprinidae. The record is from RefSeq and is a predicted model, not a curated record. The transcript has 2 exons.
UACAAUCUCAUUGUCACAGAUCAAGCUGGAGACAACAGGUAAGUGAAUGAAAGGCAGGUUUAUUGACAGGUAUGGCAAAGGCAGAUAGUCUGGAGCAAUGGCAGGUGAGAAUUCAACACAAAGUAAAGUCCAAUGAUUCUUAGCAGUGUAUUGAUGUUUGCGGAGAAUACGGGAUCCAGGAGCAGAAGAGAACAACGAUGGAAGAUCUUCGGA